This is a long non-coding RNA of Prinia subflava (tawny-flanked prinia), 7260 nucleotides long. RefSeq lists it as uncharacterized. The transcript is spliced from 2 exons. The record is from RefSeq and is a predicted model, not a curated record. NCBI's taxonomy places the organism in Eukaryota, Metazoa, Chordata, Aves, Passeriformes, Cisticolidae.
GCACUCGCCUCAUUGCCUGCUGGGGUUUUUAGUUUUUAGUGAAAGAAAAAACCAAGAACUCUGCCGAUUUCAGCAAAACAAACAACUCUAGGGAGACUCCAAAAUGUAUUCAGCCUGAAGUAAAAGAUCCACCACCACCAAAGAGUAAACGAAAUUCCUUUUUAAUUCCUUUUCCUAUCUUUUUCUUCGUAAUUUAGCAUCGGUGGCCGGGGGUUUGAAGUCAGGACUAGGAGCGGGGACUGAGUUCCCUCUCGGGAAUCCCUUUUGAGUGAGAGGCAGGCAGCCGCCGGUCACUUGUUCCCGCAUGGGUCUCGGAUGACGCAGCUGAUGCUAUCACCGAGAAGGCUGCAGAGGGGGCGGGGGUUGGGACAGACUUCACCCUGACCACCAAGCUGCGAGAGAGGCUUUUCCCAUAGCAUUUUUCUCCUGUUAGAACACGGUCACACAUCCCCUCCUGACUGAAUGCCUCCGCUUCUCCACCCCCCCCCCUCCUUUCCUCCCCCUCGCACCGGGGAUGUGAGCACCGGCUUUGGUUCGGAGCGCAUGCGCUGGCUCGAACCAGGGAAGAGCGGGGUUUCGGGGUGGCAAAAAAACAACGGGGCAGGGGUCUCGGUUAGUGAGACCCCGUUCUCCACCGGCGGUGCCGCGGCUGUAGCAGGAUGAACUCGGGUACGCUGCGGACCAGGGACAUUCGUUCCAAUAUUCCAGUAUCCAUCCCAAGGGGCUUCCCCUUGGGACUCAGGGACCACCUCUGCCGAGUCUUCCCACAAAUCAUCCUCCUGAUCUCUACUGAGAUACGAUCCCAUACUCCCCUUGGCACAGAAGUUAUGAGAUACUAAAAAUUAAAUCCCGAGUUUCCAAACUCAGUGCCGUUAACUUAAUGAUCCAACGGAUGACCGUUCCGUGGAUGUUCGGUUAACCACGGGCUCUGCAACUGCCACCGAAAAAAGUAACGGACCCCACUCGGUCGCGGUCAAGAAGGCUUACUAGUCCCCGAACUCGAAAGGGACGUCCUCUUUCCUUCAGGACCCCUGGUGACUCCCACACCCCGUCGGGUAACACUCUGUAAGAGUCGGUCCGAAAAUCCCUCAUUUCUGCCUCACGACUGUCAGAGGCUGAGACCCCCCCUGGACCCUGGGCCACAGCACAGGAGAGAUCCAAGCUUCUCCCUGCAGCUGCACCCACUGGACCAAGACGCCCUCCUCAGGGACCCGUGCAGGAACAAUGGACACUGUCACGGUUCCUGGGCCGUGUUUGCAGAGGCCGUGUUUGCUUUGACUGACUGUGCUGUACCUGCUGCAGAGCCCAGACCUGCUUGCCCCAAACCUGCCUGAUCUGAAUGGUUGCACCUGAUUCCCAGAGCAACGGGGCUCCUCACAAUGACUCUUGGGUGCUCCCCCCACGCUGGCCAGGUGCCCCCCCACUUCUGCCUGCAUUGGCCGGGUGCCCCCUGCUUCUGCAAUGACUAUAAAAGCUUCCCCCUGCGACUCACAUUUUGAGGCCUCCCCUUCGGACGACGGCUCCAUUGACCUACGUGCCACGGAGACUGCGAAGGUGGUCUGUUGGCAACGACGUCACGAGGACCCCCGUCUGUCAGUUGGUAGCUAUACCCUUUCUUUACCCCCCUUUCUCUCCCUCUCUCUCUCCCUCUCUUCUUUCCCCUUCUUUUCUAUCGCAUAACUGUGUGUAUCAAUAAAGAUACAAUUGAUUUCACUUGAAUUAAGUUAUCACUGCCUCUUUUUGCACUCUGAAAUCAAAACAAACCAUCACGACCAUCCUUUGGCUCGUGACAUUAAAUUGGCGUCACGGACAGGAUCCUGAUUGACAGAGGGGUUGCAGGUUGUCUAUAGUCUGUACUAGGAAGAGGAAGAUUUGCCUCAGCCGCACCUAGCACGUCACUUCGGUGAACGAAGCUAGAAAGCAAGGGGGGCUUUUCUGAUUCUUCGCACACUGUAGACACCUAGGUGAAAGCAUCCCUAUACUCUAUUGAGGUGUAUCUGUCUUCAGGAUUUCACAAAAGAUCUCCUAGUGCAAAAAGAGAAACUGUUUUUUGUGUGUGAACUGUCUUGUUGAGAGAAGGGACACCUUGACGUAACUAAACAGUGCCUCAGCAGACAGAUUUUGUCCCUUCACCCACCCCAGGGAAAGAGGGGAGACGCAGCGUAGCUGUGUGUGUGUACAACCAAGCAUUACCUCCCUGUAGUGGUUUUCUGAUCCCCCUUUACAAAAUGACUAAUGAUUUUAUACAUAAAACUGAAUUUUAUGCUCUACUAGCUAAACACAAUGCCAGACCCUCUCCAGAGGUGGAAUUUUGGGCUAAUAAUAACUGGUCUAAUUUGGAAAGUGUGGUUGAUAAAGUAUGUUCUUUACAACAUGAAACAAAAUUUAAACUGGGCAAAAAUAAAACCAUACUGUGCUCAGUUCUGGGAGCCUGCCUUACCGCAGCUGUAGAAACUCGCUUUAAGCGAAGAAGUGAAGAAAAUGCAAUAAUAGACUCCCUUCAAAAUUUAGUUGAAAUUUUGCAAAAUGAAAAUCAUUUGCUGCGAGAUGAAAAUAAUUUGCUACGGACUGCCUUGGGAGAUGAAUAUUCUAAAAAUUUAGAGAAUGCUGACUUCCCAAAAAAGGCAGAAGAAAAAGAAACUCCUCACAUUUAUCAGAUUUACCCCCAGAAAGAAUUAGUGUUAGUAAAAAAUUGUGAGGAACACUGCUGCCCUAACACAACACCUCUAGUUAAAACAGAAUGCAACUAUAUUGAUGAAAAUUCAGACCCACAAAUAAUCACUAAAGAAAUCCCAGACACCACCACUGAAUUAUCUAAGCUAAAAGGAGAGUACUCGCGGUUCCCUCAUGAAUCAGAGACAGGACAUGUUUCCCGAGUUUCUCUCGGUGGUGGAGAUCAAAUUAAAUUGACAGAACAAGAAGUUAGUGGGUAUUGGGGACAUGGAGUUUCCUUAAAACAUAAUUCAUGGUCCCUGAUUCAAUGCUCAGCUCACUGGGCAGAGGGGUAUAACCCCUUGGAAAAGGGAAACCAUUUAACUUUAAUUGGUACUCCCGAACAGCCCAUGGAAAACAUUCACAAAGCUGCCUGCCUGCAAAUGAUACAUGAUGACUCUCCAAUGCAAUUGCCUGUAAAGCCUGAAAUUAUGAUUCCUUUAAUUCAAAAGCCUUUGGAAUUACUUAAACCUAUAGCAAUUGUUUUAAGUUCUGUAGAAAAGCUAGACAGAUCCCUCGGAAACCCAAGUGAACCAACCGGAUCUACAGAUCGUGGUUUCAGUCCUUAUCCUACCCCCUCCCAGCCCCCAGCCCCUCAAUCUAAUUCACCUGCUGGUGAUCGUAAUGUCUAUGUAUUAAGUGAAAUUGCAGUAGAAGUGACCAACUAUGUUAAAACUCCUAGUAGUGAAAAACCAGAGAAAAGUAAACAAAUCACUAGCCGCCAACACUUGUUGCUAUUAGAUAUUAAAAAAGGGGUCCCCAAACAAAACCCAAAUUUGCCAGGGCAACCCCUCCCUAAAAAGUCACAGCAAAUUACACACCUUUCUUCUGAGAAUCUGGGCAGUGAGCCCAGAAACAGUCUAACAAUCCAACCCCCCCCACCCUCCCCCUCUCAGCACCCAGGCAAGGAGCCAAAGCAAAGCCUUCCUUCUCAAGGGAACCUAGAUUCACCCAACCAUGCCCACCCUGCUUUGGCCCAAGAGUUAGAAAAAAUACGCAUAGCUGACAAUGUAGCUGUUUACCAAUGCAGCGAUGAUAUUUUUGUGGGUAGGGAUGAAAUAGAAGUGGAAGAUCCUCAACAGAAAAUAAUCUCCAACUUUGAAAGCUUUGAUCUACAAAUUUCCCCUGAAAGUAAAAUUUCUGGGAAUUUGAUGGAAAAGAAGCAUGAUACGCAUUUGAUAACCUCCUUCAAUCAAAUUAAAAUGCCAGAAUCUACGAAGGAACUGCAACAAGUUUCAGAAUUACUAGUGCUUUGCAGAAAACACAUCCCUGAUUUUUCUAUAAUUGCCAGAACCCUUUACAGCCUGCUGAGAAAAGGAAAAAUUUGGGAAUGGGGUGAUUCUCAUCAUGAGGCUUUAAAAUUGUUAAUUUUUGAGGCAACCGCCCACCAAACACUUGGUCCUACUUAUCCUACAGAUCCUUUCCACAUGGAAUGGUGUUUUGCUUUUUCAGGAUUGUCAGUACAACAACCUGUUGUCCUGAGAGGCCCUUCUCCAUAUGCAACCCCCCCACCUGACGGGGUGGCCGAAGGAGCCUCAUUUGGAGCUGUAAAAAAUCUGACAAUGAACUUGGAUGGUAACCCAGACAAACCUGCCUCAGUCACUGGAACAGCCCCUCCCUUUUGCCCCAAGCAGUCUCACUUUUCUGCAGAAAUUGUCCCAGAUUGGGCAAAACGUGAAAAGAUCAAAUGGGCUUCUCAUACCUGUUAUGGAUGGGAGGCUAACAAAUGUUCCAAAAUCACUGCUUUUUGCCCGGCAGUUCCAAGCAUAAACACACCCUGGAUAAUUCCUUCAUACUAACUUUUCUGCCUUUGAAGGCAGAUUCUGUUGUGUUUACUUUUCACAGGAGAACUCCGAUGGACAUAAAGACCACAUAAAACCAUGAUAAAACUGGUGAUAUUUUAAACAUUAUUUGUGUUAUAGGAACAAAAUUAAGAAUUUUAAACAGUAUUGAUUUAGAAAUAUUCGUUAAUAAAUUGGUUGUUACAAUUAAGAAUUUGACACCUUUUACGGUCGUCCUUAUUGGCUUUGGGAACGACUCAGUGGCUAUUAUCAAACAUAUUAUCAAACUGAGAACUGGUAAAUGUGAAUGAUUAUAAAUUGAUAAUUGAUCGCAAAACUAAAUCUUUUAGCUCUUAGCUGCCUCCAGUCUCAGUAGUGGAUGCAGUUAGUGGCUGCCUCAAUUAUAAAAGAUGGCAGCUUUUUCUACUGAAAUUUGGAAAGUAAUUUGGAACAAUGCCAAUGAUUUCAAAAGAGAUUUUCAAUUCUAGUUGAACUUAGUGAAUUUUAUUUAUGACUCUUUUAUAAACACAGCCACAGCUUUUGUAUUGACCAUAUGUGUUGCCAUGAAUUUUCCUGGUUUGCUGAGCGUUCAUAUUAAAGGAGAAACGUGCAGUUUCUCACGCUGGUGAAUUGUAAACACAGGACCAUGUUUUGUAAAUAUUGGCAAUGUUAUGAAUACUUUCUCCAAGACAAGGGGAGGUUGAAUGACAGCCUCCUGGACCAAUGUGACAGGAGAGGUGGCGAUACCCUUCUCCAAUCCAUGGUCACCUUGCCACAGAUAUAUAAUGGAAAAAUAAACUAAGGGCAGGGUCUUCUGCCCUGCUGCUCUGAUGCACCCAGAUCUGUGUCCCCAGUCUGUGUUCCUGGUUGGGCCUCCACGGUGAUACAUAUGUAAUGCUUUGAUACAUUUGAUAUUCCCUAUUAUUGUGUUAAGAUUAAAACAUGAUGGAGCUAUUCUCUAUCUUUUCCAGUAUAGGGAGUGGGCCCGUCAAGUCGAUAAAAAAUGGCAAACUGUUAACUUAGAAUCCUGCAUAGUCCGAGAACAACAAGGCUUUAUUUGUGAAAGUAAUAAAAUUACAUUUGUUUAGACAUAGAACAAAAUAUUUGUCAUUUUAAAGUUUAUCCUAACGAGACUCCUGAAACAGUGCUUUUAUAUGUAGGCAAUGGAUGUGUAUGCUUUAGGACUGCUUGUGAUGUUGUAACUGUAGAAAAUGUUAUACUAGAAACCAAAAAUCACUCGAACUUUUGUGCUUGUAACUUUACUAAAAUUACAGCUUUUGAUUUUUCUUUUUCAGCUCCAGUUACUUCUUACCAGCUUUUACAAUCUAAUUACACACUGAUCCACAAGCUACGGCCUACUCUGAUUGGGAUGAACCUCACUUUGGUAAAGUAAUUGUUGCUCCAUCAGGAUCUAAGUGAAAUUUUAGAUAAAACCAAGACCUUGAUAACAAAUUAUGUCAUCCCAUCGUUGUUCUUUUAACUUUAUUUUGAUUGGCUUUUGUUUUGCAGCAAUCUCAUUCUUUACUUAGAAACAAUAGAUAUACUUAGAGAUGUUGACACAAGACAAACUUUACAAGUAGGCCAUAGCCGCGGACUGUGAAAUGGAUUUUGCCUAAGUAAUACAUAUAUUUUAAGAAAAUUAUGUAUUUUGAUUUUUGUGAUUUGUGUUAAUCAUUUUUAAAUUUGUUCAUGCUACUUGAAAAUUGUUUUACAAUAAUUUUUUGCCUUGAUUGAAAAUUGUUUUAACUAAUAUUUUACUUAAUAUUGUUAAGAUUUUGUCUUGAUUAUUUGAUUUUAUGAAUCAUUUAUCAUCAUGAUUUGUUUAAGAGUUUUAUUAAUCAACAACAAUUAUUUGUUUUGAAAUUUUAAUGUCAUUGGAUUUGUUUUGUCAUAAUGAUUUGUUUUGAGAUAUUAACAAUCAAUAUUAAUCAUUAUGAUGUCUCUUGUUUUUCCUUUUUCCUUCUAUAUUUCCUUUUUCCCCUCUCUCUUUCUCUCGACUCUAUUUUCCGGGGUAUACCACUGACACUGACAAUGAGUCCUGAAGACUUCAGAACAACGCAACGAACUCAACUGAUGGAGCUCUCCUGCCGACCAGUCGUGAGUCACGGGGUGGUGUAAGAGUCGGUCCGAAAAUCCCUCAUUUCUGCCUCACGACUGUCAGAGGCUGAGACCCCCCCUGGACCCUGGGCCACAGCACAGGAGAGAUCCAAGCUUCUCCCUGCAGCUGCACCCACUGGACCAAGACGCUCUCCUCAGGGACCCGUGCAGGAACAAUGGACACUGUCACGGUUCCUGGGCCGUGUUUGCAGAGGCCGUGUUUGCUUUGACUGACUGUGCUGUACCUGCUGCAGAGCCCAGACCUGCUUGCCCCAAACCUGCCUGAUCUGAAUGGUUGCACCUGAUUCCCAGAGCAACGGGGCUCCUCACAAUGACUCUUGGGUGCUCCCCCCACGCUGGCCAGGUGCCCCCCACUUCUGCCUGCAUUGGCCAGGUGCCCCCUGCUUCUGCAAUGACUAUAAAAGCUUCCCCCUGCGACUCACAUUUUGAGGCCUCCCCUUCGGACGACGGCUCCAUUGACCUACGUGCCACGGAGACUGCGAAGGUGGUCUGUUGGCAACGACGUCACGAGGACUCCCGUCUGUCAGUUGGUAGCUAUACCCUUUCUUUACCCCCCUUUCUCUCCCUCUCUCUCUCCCUCUCUUCUUUCCCCUUCUUUUCUAUCGCAUAACUGUGUGUAUCAAUAAAGAUACAAUUGAUUUCACUUGAA